GGAGUUGUAGCUCAGCGGUAGAGUGUGCACCUAGCAUGCGUAAGGCACUGGGUUCAAUCCUCAGCACCA
RNAcentral lists this transfer RNA (69 nucleotides) under Ictidomys tridecemlineatus (thirteen-lined ground squirrel). RNAcentral's name for it is "Spermophilus tridecemlineatus (thirteen-lined ground squirrel) tRNA". It matches the Rfam family "tRNA". From Rfam's summary of the family: Transfer RNA (tRNA) molecules are approximately 80 nucleotides in length. Their secondary structure includes four short double-helical elements and three loops (D, anti-codon, and T loops). The record is from Rfam by way of RNAcentral. Lineage: Eukaryota; Metazoa; Chordata; Mammalia; Rodentia; Sciuridae.